AUUGAACGCUGGCGGCAUGCUUUACACAUGCAAGUCGAACGGGGUGGAGGGGCAACUCUUCAUUCAGUGGCGAACGGGUGAGUAAUACAUCGGAACGUGUCCCGUAGUGGGGGAUAACCCAGCGAAAGCUGGGCUAAUACCGCAUAUGCUCUACGGAGGAAAGCAGGGGACUCAGCGGGCAACCGAGGGGCCUUGUGCUAUGGGAGCGGCCGAUGUCCGAUUAGCUUGUUGGNGGGGUAAAGGCCUACCAAGGCGACGAUCGGUAGCUGGUCUGAGAGGAUGAUCAGCCACACUGGGACUGAGACACGGCCCAGACUCCUACGGGAGGCAGCAGUAAGGAAUAUUGCGCAAUGGGCGAAAGCCUGACGCAGCGACGCCGCGUGGGGGAGUGAAGGU
Molecule: ribosomal RNA, 396 nt
Filed under: uncultured bacterium
Lineage: Bacteria
Description: bacterial SSU rRNA
Rfam family: Bacterial small subunit ribosomal RNA
Source: RNAcentral